This 417-nucleotide ribosomal RNA is filed under the name uncultured bacterium. RNAcentral describes it as "bacterial SSU rRNA". It matches the Rfam family "Bacterial small subunit ribosomal RNA", at positions 355 to 775 of the family's 1533-position model. The record is from RNAcentral.
CAAGGAAUCUUCCGCAAUGGGCGACAGCCUGACGGAGCAACGCCGCGUGCGGGAUGACGCCUUUCGGGGUGUAAACCGCUUUUCUUCAGGAAGAACGUGACGCGAGUCACCUGACGGUACUGGAGGAAGAAGGACCGGCUAACUACGUGCCAGCAGCCGCGGUAAUACGUAGGGUCCGAGCGUUGUCCGGAGUUACUGGGCGUAAAGCGCGCGCAGGCGGCGGUGUUGGCUCGGCGUGAAAGCCCCCGGCUCAACCGGGGAGGGUCGUCGAGGACCGCACCGCUUGAGGGCGGUAGGGGCUGGUGGAAUGCCUGGUGUAGUGGUGAAAUGCGUAGAGAUCAGGCGGAACACCCGUGGCGAAGGCGGCCAGCUGGGCCGUCCCUGACGCUGAGGCGCGAAGGCGUGGGGAGCGAACGG